RNAcentral lists this transfer RNA (73 nucleotides) under Caudoviricetes sp. Its description in RNAcentral is "tRNA-Met". It matches the Rfam family "tRNA". Rfam says of the family: Transfer RNA (tRNA) molecules are approximately 80 nucleotides in length. Lineage: Duplodnaviria; Heunggongvirae; Uroviricota; Caudoviricetes. The record is from RNAcentral.
GGCCCUUUAGCUCAACAGGUAGAGCGGGUGACUCAUAAUCGCUUGGUUGCUGGUUCAAGUCCAGUAGGGGCCG